AUACGGAGGAUCCGAGCGUUAUCCGGAUUUAUUGGGUUUAAAGGGAGCGUAGGUGGAUUGUUAAGUCAGUUGUGAAAGUUUGCGGCUCAACCGUAAAAUUGCAGUUGAAACUGGGAGUCUUGAGUACAGUAGAGGUGGGCGGAAUUCGUGGUGUAGCGGUGAAAUGCUUAGAUAUCACGAAGAACUCCGAUUGCGAAGGCAGCUCACUAGACUGUUACUGACACUGAUGCUCGAAAGUGUUGGUAUCAAACAGGAUUAGAUACCCUGGUAGUCCACACAGUAAACGAUGAAUACUCGCUGUUUGCGAUAUACAGUAAGCGGCCAAGCGAAAGCAUUAAGUAUUCCACCUGGGGAGUACGCCGGCAACGGUGAAACUCAAAGGAAUUGACGGGG
Molecule: ribosomal RNA, 393 nt
Filed under: uncultured bacterium
Lineage: Bacteria
Description: partial 16S ribosomal RNA
Rfam family: Bacterial small subunit ribosomal RNA
Source: RNAcentral